GAAAUGCGAUAAGUAGUGUGAAUUGCAGAAUUCAGUGAAUCAUCGAAUCUUUGAACGCACAUUGCGCCCGCCAGUAUUCUGGCGGGCAUGCCUGUCCGAGCGUCAUUUCAACCAUCAAGCCCCGGGCUUGUGUUGGGGACCUGCGGCUGCCCGCAGGCCCUGAAAACCAGUGGCGGGCUCGCUGUCACACCGAGCGUAGUAGCAAUCACCUCGCUCAGGGCGUGCUGCGGGUUCCGGCCGUUAAACAGCCUUACAAAACCCAAGGUUGACCUCGGAUCAGGUAGGAAGACCCGCUGAACUUAAGC
This 305-nucleotide unclassified non-coding RNA is filed under the name plant metagenome. RNAcentral describes it as "partial contains 5.8S ribosomal RNA, internal transcribed spacer 2, and large subunit ribosomal RNA". The stretch from base 1 to 105 matches the Rfam family "5.8S ribosomal RNA", at positions 50 to 154 of the family's 154-position model. The record is from RNAcentral.